RNAcentral lists this ribosomal RNA (253 nucleotides) under uncultured bacterium. RNAcentral's name for it is "partial 16S ribosomal RNA". It matches the Rfam family "Bacterial small subunit ribosomal RNA", at positions 524 to 776 of the family's 1533-position model. The record is from RNAcentral.
UACAGAGGUCUCAAGCGUUGUUCGGAUUCAUUGGGCGUAAAGGGUGCGUAGGCGGCGCGGUAAGUCGGGUGUGAAAUCUUGGAGCUUAACUCCGAAACUGCAUUCGAUACUGCCGUGCUUGAGGACUGGAGAGGAGACUGGAAUUUACGGUGUAGCGGUGAAAUGCGUAGAUAUCGUAAGGAAGACCAGUGGCGAAGGCGGGUCUCUGGACAGUUCCUGACGCUGAGGCGCGAAAGCGUGGGGAGCAAACGGG